GACGAACGCUGGCGGCGUGCCUAAUACAUGCAAGUCGAGCGCUGAAGCCUGGUACUUGUGCCAACUGGGUGAGCAGCGCACGGGUGAGUAACGCGUGGGGAAUCUGCCUUUGAGCGGGGGACAACAUGUGGAAACGAAUGCUAAUACCGCAUAAAAUCUUUAAACACAAGGUUUAAGUUUGAAAGAUGCAAUUGCAUCACUCAAAGAUGAUCCCGCGUCGUAUUAGCUAGUUGGUGAGGUAAAGGCUCACCAAGGCGAUGAUACAGAGCCGAACUGAGAGGGUGGUCGGCCAGACUGGGACUGGGACCCGGCCCAAGGGGAUUGGGGAGGGAGCAGGAGGGAAUCGUCGGGAAUGGACGGAAAUCUGACCGAGCAACGCCGGGGGAGGGGAGAAGGUUGUCGGGUCGGAAAACUCGGUUGGUAGGGAAGAAAGUUGUUGGGAGUGGAAAGCGCAUGGAGUGACGGUAACUAGUAAGAAAGCGACGGCUAACUACGUG
Molecule: ribosomal RNA, 497 nt
Filed under: uncultured bacterium
Lineage: Bacteria
Description: partial 16S ribosomal RNA
Rfam family: Bacterial small subunit ribosomal RNA
Source: RNAcentral